Long non-coding RNA from Panicum virgatum (switchgrass), 130 nucleotides. RefSeq lists it as uncharacterized. The transcript has 2 exons. Lineage: Eukaryota; Viridiplantae; Streptophyta; Magnoliopsida; Poales; Poaceae. The record is from RefSeq and is a predicted model, not a curated record.
CUAUUAUCAUGUCACUAAGAGCAAGAGGAAGACAAAAUGAUAGUUUGAAGAGGGUUGUCACCAUACGCAAUGAAAGUAAUGUUUCAGUAGAUGUUGUGCUAUGGGUGAGCGCGCCUCUUCUUUCCCAGCU